This 116-nucleotide ribosomal RNA is filed under the name Pteropus alecto (black flying fox). The record is from RNAcentral. Lineage: Eukaryota; Metazoa; Chordata; Mammalia; Chiroptera; Pteropodidae.
GGUUAUGGCCAUGCCACCCUGAACAAGCCCAAUGUCUGAUCUCAGAAGCUAAGCAGGGUUGGGCCUGGUUAAUACUUGGAUGGGAGACCACCUAGGAAGACCAGGUGCUGUAGGCA